CAGUCGCCGCGGUAAUACGUAGGUGGCAAGCGUUGUCCGGAAUUAUUGGGCGUAAAGGGCUCGCAGGCGGUUUCUUAAGUCUGAUGUGAAAGCCCCCGGCUCAACCGGGGAGGGUCAUUGGAAACUGGGAAACUUGAGUGCAGAAGAGGAGAGUGGAAUUCCACGUGUAGCGGUGAAAUGCGUAGAGAUGUGGAGGAACACCAGUGGCGAAGGCGACUCUCUGGUCUGUAACUGACGCUGAGGAGCGAAAGCGUGGGCAGCGAACAGGAUUAGAUACCCGGUAGUCCCUGUCUCUUAUACA
RNAcentral lists this ribosomal RNA (301 nucleotides) under uncultured bacterium. RNAcentral describes it as "partial 16S ribosomal RNA". It matches the Rfam family "Bacterial small subunit ribosomal RNA", at positions 509 to 808 of the family's 1533-position model. The record is from RNAcentral.